Molecule: ribosomal RNA, 309 nt
Filed under: uncultured Helotiales
Lineage: Eukaryota; Fungi; Ascomycota; Leotiomycetes; Helotiales
Description: eukaryotic LSU rRNA
Rfam family: 5.8S ribosomal RNA (bases 1-121)
Source: RNAcentral
UCGAUGAAGAACGCAGCGAAAUGCGAUAAGUAAUGUGAAUUGCAGAAUUCAGUGAAUCAUCGAAUCUUUGAACGCACAUUGCACCUCUGGUAUUCUGGGGGGUAUGCCUGUUCGAGCGUCAUUGCAACCCUCAAGCAUUGCUUGGUAUUGGAUGCCACCGUGUUGGUGCAUCUCAAAAGUAUUGGUGGUGGCAUUCAGCUUCUAGCGUAGUAAAUCUUCUCGCAUUGGAGUUUGAGUGUCUGAUUGCCAGAACCCCUAAAUUUAUUAAAGGUUGACCUCGGAUCAGGUGGGGAUACCCGCUGAACUUAA